AUUCCAAUCGAACUCGGAGAUAGCUGGUUCUCCCCGAAAUAGCUUUAGGGCUAGCCUCAUAUUAGAUACCCGGAGGUAAAGCACUGAAUGGCCUAGCGCCCGAGAGGGUAGCGAAGCCUAUCAAACUAAGAAUGCCGGAGUAUUGAUGUAUGGGAGUCAGACAGUGUGAGAUAAAUCUCAUUGUCAAAAGGGAAACAGCCCAGAUCUACAGCUAAGGUCCCAAAUUGUAUCUAAGUGGAAAACGAUGUGGAAAUACGCAGACAACCAGGAUGUUGGCUCAGAAGCAGCCACUCAUUUAAAGAGUGCGUAAUAGCUCACUGGUCGAGCGUCUCUGCGCGGAAAAUUUAACGGGGCUAAGAUACAAACCGAAGCUUAGGCUGCAUCGUAAGAUGCGGGGUAGGGGAGCGUUGUGUAAGCGGAGAAACAGUAGCGUAAGCGGCUGUGGAGUUUACAGAAGUGAGAAUGCCGGAAUGAGUAGCGCGAAUGAUGUGAGAAUCAUCAUGGCCGGAAACCUCAGGUUUUUGGAGGAAGGUUCGUCCGCUCCAAGUUAGGCGGGAGCUAAGGUGAGGCCGAAAGGCGUAGCCGAUGCACAGACGGUAGAGAUUCCGUCCCCACCGAAAGAUUUAAGCGCAGGGACACUUUUAGAAGGUCGGAGCCAGGUGUUGGUUCUGGUAGUGAUCGAGGGAAAUAUAGUACCGAAGUCCGGCUGGAGGAGAGGCGAGAAAAGCUGUGUGUAUAUCUAAGGUGCCCGUACCGCAAACCGACACAGGUAGGUAGGAAGAAGAUUCUAAGGCCAACGGGAGAAGGGUUGUUAAGGAACUCGGCAAGUUGACCCCGUAACUUCGGAAUAAGGGGUGCUCACGAGAGUGAGCCGCAGAGAAUAGGCCCAGGCAACUGUUUACCAAAAACACAGGUUUGUGCUAAAUCGAAAGAUGACGUAUACGAGCUGACGCCUGCCCGGUGCUGGAAGGUUAAAAGGAGAUGUGCAAGCAUUGAAUUGAAGCCCCAGUGAACGGCGGCCGUAACUAUAACGGUCCUAAGGUAGCGAAAUUCCUUGUCAGGUAAGUUCUGACCCGCAUGAAAGGCGUAAUGAUCUGGGCACUGUCUCAACAGCCCGCCCGGCGAAAUUGUAGUACCGGUGAAGAUGCCGGUUACCCGCGACAAGACGGAAAGACCCCAUGGAGCUUUACUGUAGCCUGAUAUUGGGUUUCGGUGUUGCAUGCACAGGAUAGAUGGGACGCUGGGAAAGAAGCGCUUUGGCGUUUCUGGAGCGGACGUUGGGAUACCAUCCUUGCGACAUUGGAAUUCUAACCUGCGCCUCUGAAUCGAGGCGGGGGACAUUGUCAGGUGGGCAGUUUGACUGGGGCGGUCGCCUCCUAAAAAGUAGCGGAGGCGUUCAAAGGUUCGUUCGAUCUGGACGGAAACCAGAUGAUUGAGUGCAAACGCAUAAACGAGCCUGACUGCGAGACUGACGGGUCGAGCAGAGACGAAAGUCGGAGUUAGUGAUCCGGUGGUAUGUGAGUGG
This 1525-nucleotide ribosomal RNA is filed under the name human gut metagenome. Its description in RNAcentral is "bacterial LSU rRNA". It matches the Rfam family "Bacterial large subunit ribosomal RNA", at positions 826 to 2436 of the family's 2925-position model. The record is from RNAcentral.